Molecule: ribosomal RNA, 809 nt
Filed under: uncultured bacterium
Lineage: Bacteria
Description: bacterial SSU rRNA
Rfam family: Bacterial small subunit ribosomal RNA
Source: RNAcentral
GAAAAGGGAUGAGCCCGCGUCUGAUUAGCUAGUUGGUAGGGUAACGGCCUACCAAGGCGACGAUCAGUAGCCGGCCUGAGAGGGUGGCCGGCCACAUUGGGACUGAGACACGGCCCAAACUCCUACGGGAGGCAGCAGUGGGGAAUCUUCCGCAAUGGGCGAAAGCCUGACGGAGCAACGCCGCGUGAGUGAAGAAGGCCUUCGGGUCGUAAAGCUCUGUCUUUAGGGAAGAAAAGCGAUUAUGUAAAUAAUGUAGUCGUGUGACGGUACCUAAGGAGGAAGCUCCGGCUAACUACGUGCCAGCAGCCGCGGUAAUACGUAGGGAGCAAGCGUUGUCCGGAAUUACUGGGCGUAAAGGGCGCGUAGGCGGGUAUUUAAGUCAGGUGUGAAAACUCCGAGCUCAACUUGGAGACUGCACUUGAAACUGGGUAUCUUGAGGGCAGGAGAGGAAAGUGGAAUUCCUAGUGUAGCGGUGAAAUGCGUAGAUAUUAGGGGGAACACCAGUGGCGAAGGCGACUUUCUGGACUGUACCUGACGCUGAGGCGCGAAAGCGUGGGGAGCGAACGGGAUUAGAUACCCCGGUAGUCCACGCCGUAAACGAUGAAUACUAGGUGUAGGAGGUAUCGACCCCUUCUGUGCCGCAGUUAACACAAUAAGUAUUCCGCCUGGGGAGUACGAUCGCAAGAUUGAACUCAAAGGAAUUGACGGGACCCGCACAAGCGGUGGAGCAUGUGGUUUAAUUCGAAGCAACGCGAAGACCUUACCAGGGCUUGAACAUCCCUCGCAAUCUGUGGAAACAACGAGUUUAA